GGGUGAGUAACACGUGGGUAACCUGCCUGUAAGACUGGGAUAACUCCGGGAAACCGGGGCUAAUACCGGAUGGUUGUUUGAACCGCAUGGUUCAAACAUAAAAGGUGGCUUCGGCUACCACUUACAGAUGGACCCGCGGCGCAUUAGCUAGUUGGUGAGGUAACGGCUCACCAAGGCAACGAUGCGUAGCCGACCUGAGAGGGUGAUCGGCCACACUGGGACUGAGACACGGCCCAGACUCCUACGGGAGGCAGCAGUAGGGAAUCUUCCGCAAUGGACGAAAGUCUGACGGAGCAACGCCGCGUGAGUGAUGAAGGUUUUCGGAUCGUAAAGCUCUGUUGUUAGGGAAGAACAAGUACCGUUCGAAUAGGGCGGUACCUUGACGGUACCUAACCAGAAAGCCACGGCUAACUACGUGCCAGCAGCCGCGGUAAUACGUAGGUGGCAAGCGUUGUCCGGAAUUAUUGGGCGUAAAGGGCUCGCAGGCGGUUUCUUAAGUCUGAUGUGAAAGCCCCCGGCUCAACCGGGGAGGGUC
Molecule: ribosomal RNA, 535 nt
Filed under: Bacillus subtilis
Lineage: Bacteria; Bacillati; Bacillota; Bacilli; Caryophanales; Bacillaceae
Description: bacterial SSU rRNA
Rfam family: Bacterial small subunit ribosomal RNA
Source: RNAcentral